UAGUUCUACUCCAUUCUUGAU
RNAcentral lists this non-coding RNA (21 nucleotides) under Caenorhabditis elegans. The record is from RNAcentral. Lineage: Eukaryota; Metazoa; Nematoda; Chromadorea; Rhabditida; Rhabditidae.